Molecule: ribosomal RNA, 258 nt
Filed under: uncultured bacterium
Lineage: Bacteria
Description: partial 16S ribosomal RNA
Rfam family: Bacterial small subunit ribosomal RNA
Source: RNAcentral
UACGUAGGGUGCAAGCGUUGUCCGGAAUUAUUGGGCGUAAAGAGCUCGUAGGCGGUUUGUCGCGUCUGCUGUGAAAUCUAGAGGCUCAACCUCUAGCGUGCAGUGGGUACGGGCAGACUGGAGUGGUGUAGGGGGAGACUGGAAUUCCUGGUGUAAGCGGUGGAAUGCGCAGAUAUCAGGAGGAACACCGAUGGCGAAGGCAGGCUCGUCUGGGCACUUACUGGACGCUGAGGAGCGAAAGCAUGGGGAGCGAACAGG